GCAACUAUAGUAUAAAUUAAAUACGUUACAUUUUCAUUGUAAAAAUGAAUUAGAUUCUAGUAGCU
This 65-nucleotide transfer RNA is filed under the name Daphnia magna. RNAcentral describes it as "tRNA-Glu". It matches the Rfam family "tRNA". From Rfam's summary of the family: Transfer RNA (tRNA) molecules are approximately 80 nucleotides in length. Their secondary structure includes four short double-helical elements and three loops (D, anti-codon, and T loops). The record is from RNAcentral. Lineage: Eukaryota; Metazoa; Arthropoda; Branchiopoda; Diplostraca; Daphniidae.